UACGUAGGGUGCGAGCGUUAAUCGGAAUUACUGGGCGUAAAGCGUGCGCAGGCGGCUUGCCCAAGUCAGAUGUGAAAGCCCCGGGCUCAACCCGGGAAUGGCGUUUGAAACUGGCAGGCUAGAGUUUGGCAGAGGGGGGUGGAAUUCCACGUGUAGCAGUGAAAUGCGUAGAGAUGCGGAGGAACACCGAUGGCGAAGGCAGCCCCCUGGGCUAACACUGACGCUCAGGCACGAAAGCGUGGGGAGCAAACAGG
Molecule: ribosomal RNA, 254 nt
Filed under: uncultured bacterium
Lineage: Bacteria
Description: partial 16S ribosomal RNA
Rfam family: Bacterial small subunit ribosomal RNA
Source: RNAcentral